GGGACGGGAGAGUAUUUCGAUCUUUAAAGCAAUUGAUAUUAAGUGUAAAAUUUAAAAUGAGUAAUAUUGUCCAAUUUCUUGAUAAAAGAGUUUUGACUAUUGAAAUUUGAAAACACUUAUUUAUAAAUGGCAUAUACAAGCCCUCAAGGCGGGCGACGGCUCUCAUCAGGGCCCCAAAAUUUGAUGACCCAAAAUUUUUAAUAUAUCUCAUUAAAU
RNAcentral lists this long non-coding RNA (216 nucleotides) under Salvia miltiorrhiza (redroot sage). RNAcentral describes it as "long non-coding RNA (SMIL_LNC003469)". The record is from RNAcentral. Lineage: Eukaryota; Viridiplantae; Streptophyta; Magnoliopsida; Lamiales; Lamiaceae.